RNAcentral lists this long non-coding RNA (4340 nucleotides) under Homo sapiens (human). RNAcentral describes it as "HSALNT0240132". Lineage: Eukaryota; Metazoa; Chordata; Mammalia; Primates; Hominidae. The record is from RNAcentral.
UGGUUUUCUCCUUGGUGUGUGAGUUUGUUUGGUGCUCUCCCUUUCUCCUUCGCCAUUUGAAUAGUGAUGUCAUUAUUCCAACGUCCUCUCACCUCUACUGAAAAAGGCCUACCAGUGACUCUCUCCUGGGUACUCAGCAACACUCUGGAGGGAAGUUGUGGUUUCAGCAAGGUGCAAGCAUCAUGAAACCGAGAGAGAACUGGCAGGGUGGAGAACUCACCCAAAGAGCCUCGCACCAACGUUCCCUCUGCUUGGAAUGCUCUUCCCUCAGUCACCCAAGUUCAUCCCUUGCUGCCUUCAAGUCUCUGCUCACAUGUCACCUUUCCUGCAAGGCCAUGCCUGCCCACCCCUUUUAAAGCCGCAGCCCUUCCAGGCAUGCCAUCCUUCUUGCUUGCUAUAGGUUUUUCCAUUGCACUGAUCACCUUACAAAUGGGUUUAUUUAUUGUAUAAUUUUCUCUUCCCACUAGAGUGUAAGAGCUACAGGAAAGGGAUAUUUUUGUUUUGUUCACUGAUAUUUCCCACUGCCUAGUGCUCAAAAAAUAUUUGCUGAAUAAGUGAAUAAAUCAGUAUCAUACUGUCCCCAACUUGCUCAUCUUACCUCUAUUUUGUAACUGAUCUAUGUAACCACCACUUAGCUGACAUCCUAGUGUCAGAACCCAAACUUGAGUCUUCCCUUUCUCUGUCUUUUUUAUUUUUUGAGAUGGGGUCUCACUUCUCACUAUGUUGCCUAGGCUGGACUUGAACUCCUGGGCUCGGGCGAUCCUCCCACCUCAGCCUCCCAAGUAGCUGGGACUAUAGGUAGGCACCAUUGCACCCAGCUUCUCUCUUUCACAGCUUUAUUGAGAUAUAAUUCACAUAAAAUAGAAUUUAUCCAUUUAAAGAGUACAAUUCAAUGGGUUUUGGUAUAUCAUAGUUACGCAAACAACACUGCAACAAUCUUUGAAUAUUUUCUUUCUUUCUUUUUUUUUUUUUUUUUUUGAGACAGCUUCUUGCUCUGUCACCCAGGCUGCAGUGCACUGGCGCAAUCUCGGCUCACUGCAACCUCCGCCUCUCAGGCUCAAACGAUUCUCCUGCCUCAGCCUCCUGAGUAGCUGGGAUUACAGACACAUGCAACUACACCCAGCUAAUUUUUUGUAUUUUCAGUAGAGAUGGGAUUUCACUAUGUUAGCUAGGCUGGUCUCUAACUCCUGAGCUCAGGUGAUCUGCCUGCCUCGGCCUCCCAAAGUGCUAGGAUUACAGGCACGAGCCAUUGUGCCCAGCCCAAAUAUUUUCAUUAUCCUCGAAGAAACCCCAUAUUCCUUAAACAUCGCCCUCCAGCUCCCCCACCCCCACCGCCAUUUCUCCUCAUCUCUGGCAACUACUGAUCUAUGUGCUGACUCCAUGGGUUCUCCUGUUCUGGACAUUUCAUGUCAAUGGACUCAUACAACAUUCUUCACUGGCUUCUUUGACUUAGCACACUGUGUUCCAGGUUCAUCCAUGUUUUUGCCUAUAUUAGUAUUGCAUUAUUUUUAUAGCCAAAUACUAUUCCAUUGCAUACAGGCACAGCAUUCUGUUUAUCCAUGUAUCACUUGAUGGGCAUUUGGGUUACUUCCAGUUUGGGGCUACUAUAAAAAUGCUGCUUUGGGCUGGGCGCAGUGGCUCACACCUGUAAUCCCAGAACUUUGGGAGUCUGAGGUGGGCGGAUCACUUGAAGCCAGAAGUUCAAGACCAGCCUGGCUAACAUGGUGAAACCCUGUCUUUACUAGAAAUACAAAAAUUAGCUGGGUGUGGUGGUGCGUGCCUGUAAUUCCAGCUACUCAGGAGGCUGAGGCACAAGAAUCACUUGAGGUUGCAGUGAGCGGAGAUCAGACCACUGAACUCCAGCCUGGGUGACAGAGCCAGACUCUGUCCCCCUGCCUCAAAAAAAAAAAAAAGAAAAGAAAAGAAAAAAAACCGCUGCUCUGAACAUGCUUGUCCAUGUUCUUGGGUGGACAUAUGCUUUCAUUUCUCCUGGGCAUGAACCUGGGAGUGGGGCUGCUGGAUCAUCUGGUUACUCUGUGUGUAACCUUUUGAGGACCUGCCACUUUUUUUUUUUUCGUUUUCUCUAUGAAUCCACAUCCAACUCAUAAGUAUGGGCUGUGUUUCUCCCUCCUGAAUCUGUGCUCACUUGCAUCUGCACGGAAACCACCUCUUCAGUUCAUACCUGGAAGGCUACAGUGCCUGCUAAUGGGGAUCCCUCUCCACUUGGUCACCCUCGCCUGCACAGGGGAAGGAGUUUCCCCUUCUUGAUGCUGAGGCCACACCCCGGCCCAUUCAGGGUUGCCUCUGGAGGUGGGACCCAGGCAUCAGUGCUUCCCAGAGCUCCCCGGGUGAUUACGACGCACAGCCAAGCACCCGCUUCCUUCUGAUCCACAUUUUAUCACCUGCCACCCAAGUGCCUCCAUGACAGCAAAUCUGAUUGUGUGAUCUGGAUUCUUCUUAAAACCCCUGUGUGGCUCUCCACGGUCUCCACAAUAAAAUCCAAGCUCCCCAGGAUGCACAUGCAUCUCGGUGACCUGUGUCCACUGCCACCCGUCUUGCCUCCUUCCUCUCCCUGACCCACGCUGCACAUGCCACGCUGAGCUCCAUGUGCCUGCCCAUCCACACCUCCACGCCUUGGGACAGACUGGUCCCUCUUCCUGAAGUGCCUGUUCCCAUCUUUCAUCCUCCUCUAGGAAGUCUUCCCUGACUGCUCUCCCUCAGCGGGCUGUAACUGUGUUCACUGGCCUCUAGUCCAGGAGCGCCUCAAGGCCAGGGCUGGGAUAUCACUCUUCUCUGGAUCCUCAGCCUGUAGCUGCCUGACUCAUGGAACCAUUUGAGGUAGGCCCCCAAGUUACAGAUGGGGAAACUGAGGCCCAGAGAGGUUAAAAUACUUGUGCAGAAUCACACAGCUGGCUGAUGACAGAAGCACGACGCAAACUGAGGCCUCCCAAGACUUUCUGCACCAGGACCAGCCAGCCAUGCUGUUACCUACUCAUUCAACAAACAGCUGUGGAGUAUUGACUCUAACGUCAGUCCCUGCCUGGGCCCCUGAGAGACAGUCAUCAGGGAGAUCAUCUAUGAAGACACAAUAAUGGAAAUAGAUUCCAUCUCAGGAAAGCACUUUCUUUGUUCAUCUAUGAGAAGACAUUCUUUCAAGUUUGACCAUGAGAUUGCAGCAAUUCAGUCACAUCUUCAGGCUCCACUUCUAAUUCUAGCUCUCUUGCUACUGGCCACCACAUCUGCAGCCUCCAUCAAAGUCUUGAAUCUCUCAGUCAUCCAUGAAGGACAGAAUCAACUUCUUUUCAAAUUCCCGUUCAUGUUGAUAUUUUGACCUCCUCCCAUAAAACACAAAUGUUCUUAAUGGUACCUAGAAUGGUGAAUUCUUUCCAGAAAGUUUUCAAUGUACUUUGCCCAGAUCCAUCAGAGGAAUCACCCUCUAUAUAGCAGCCAUAGCCUUUCAAAAUGUAUUUCUUAAAUAAUAAGACUUUUAUAUCAAAUUGUCUCCUGGAUCCACGGACUGCAGGAUGGAUGUUGUGUUAGCAGGCACGAAAAGAACAUUUUCUUAUACAUCUUCAUCAGAGCUCCUAGGUGACUAUGUGCAUUGUCAAAGGGUUACUAAUUGGCCUACAUUCAAUAUUGCUGUGUCUUAAGGAAUAGGGAGGCCUGAGGAGAGUAGAGAGAGAUGAGGGAACAGCCAGCUAGUACAGCAGUCAGAACACUUACAACAUUUAUUAACUUCACCUCAUAGUAAUAUCAAAGGUCACUGAUCAUACAUAACCAUAACAGAUAUAAUAAUGAAAAUGUGUGAAAUAUUAUGAGAAUUUUAAAAAGGGACAAAGAGCCACUAAGUGAGCACAUGCUGUUGGAAAAAUGAAACUGAUAGACUUGCUUACUCCAGGGUUGCCACAAACCUUCAAUUUGGUAAAAAAAAAAAAAAAACCAUGCAAUUCCUGUCAAGUACAAUAAAUAGGAGCCCAAUAAAAUGAGAUAUGCUUAAGAAAAAAAAGAUAUGCUUAUACAUCUUACUACAAUUAAGUACAGUCUAGCAAGAUAAAGAUAGUAAGCCCUACAACAACCACUAAGAAAAUAACCCAAGAAAAAUCGUUUUAAAAAUCAUAAAGAAGGCCAGGCCAGUGAGCCAAACACCUGUACUUCCCAGCACUUUGGGAGACUGAAGCAGGAGGAUAGCUUGAGCCCAGGAGUUUGACACCAGCCUGGGCAACAUAACCCGUCACUGCAAACAAGAAAAAACUUAGGCAUGAUGGCAUGUUGUUGCGGGAAUUCAGGGACCCCGAACGGAGGGACCGGCUGAAGCCAUGGCAGAAGAACAUAAAUUGUGA